This 22-nucleotide microRNA is filed under the name Gallus gallus (chicken). Its description in RNAcentral is "microRNA Ros-gga". The record is from RNAcentral. Lineage: Eukaryota; Metazoa; Chordata; Aves; Galliformes; Phasianidae.
UCGAUGCCCGCAUUAUCAACCA